UUAUUUUUUCGUACCACGGCGAGGCCGGAUUCCUGUUUUAUCAUGAAUAUUCAUUAGGCAGGGUCGGGGAAAGUCUCGAUUCUCUUAAAUAUUCAUAUCGAGGUGGGAAUGCACGACGCGCGCUAUACUCGCACAAAGUGAGAAGAUUUAGUUCACGGAGAAUGCAUAUGGAUUGAAACUGAAGAGCUGGAAGGAGGACAUUACAACAUCUCUUAUAUUUGCAAGAUGAAGCAGAAAGUCCCAUGCAGGAUGAUGCCUCUCUACAGUGGAUGAUGAAGGCAUUCUGGUUUGCAAACUCAGGAGAGGAACAAAGAACGGAUGUUGACGGGAUCAUAUCUAGAGAUGCGGGCCUACUACACUUCAUACGAGCAAGUGUGCUAAUAUACAUGAAGACUUGGGUUAUAUUUUUUUCUGAAAACUAGGCUACAACUUUAGUGAUGGAUGCAGAAGAUAUCUACACGAGACUACGUCUUAAAGAUGCCACCCUCAUAUAAUGAAAGAGGACAAUAGAGAUGGGUUUAAACUGGAAUAUUUACAUGAUAUUUAUUUGUUAUUUGUAUUAUA
Molecule: long non-coding RNA, 564 nt
Organism: Strongylocentrotus purpuratus (purple sea urchin)
Lineage: Eukaryota; Metazoa; Echinodermata; Echinoidea; Camarodonta; Strongylocentrotidae
Exons: 4
Source: RefSeq, a predicted model, not a curated record